AGCAGCCGCGGUAAUUCCAGCUCCAAUAGCGUAUAUUAAAGUUGUUGCAGUUAAAAAGCUCGUAGUUGAAUUUCGGGGUCAAUACGUCGGUCGUGCCUCGGUACGCACUAACGUUAUUGAUUCCUCCCUUCUGACGAACCGUGAUGUCAUUAAUUUGGUGUUGCGGGGAAUCAGGACUGUUACCUUGAAAAAAUUAGAGUGUUUAAAGCAGGCAAUCGCUCGAAUACAUUAGCAUGGAAUAAUGAAAUAGGACGUUCGAACCUAUUUUGUUGGUUUCUAGGAUCAACGUAAUGAUUAAUAGGGAUAGUUGGGGGCAUUAGUAUUCAAUUGUCAGAGGUGAAAUUCUUGGAUUUAUUGAAGACUAACUACUGCGAAAGCAUUUGCCAAGGAUGUUUUCAUUAAUCAAGAACGAAAGUUAGGGGAUCGAAGACGAUCAGAUACCGUCGUAGUCUUAACCAUAAACUAUGCCGACUAGGGAUCGGAUGAUGUUAAUUUUUUAUGACUCAUUCGGCGCCUUACG
This 520-nucleotide ribosomal RNA is filed under the name uncultured Glomeraceae. RNAcentral describes it as "SSU rRNA". It matches the Rfam family "Eukaryotic small subunit ribosomal RNA", at positions 569 to 1092 of the family's 1831-position model. Lineage: Eukaryota; Fungi; Glomeromycota; Glomeromycetes; Glomerales; Glomeraceae. The record is from RNAcentral.